This 580-nucleotide ribosomal RNA is filed under the name uncultured bacterium. RNAcentral describes it as "bacterial SSU rRNA". It matches the Rfam family "Bacterial small subunit ribosomal RNA", at positions 339 to 929 of the family's 1533-position model. The record is from RNAcentral.
CUACGGGAGGCAGCAGUGGGGAAUAUUGCACAAUGGGCGGAAGCCUGAUGCAGCAACGCCGCGUGCGGGAUGACGGCCUUCGGGUUGUAAACCGCUUUCGCCUGUGACGAAGCGUGAGUGACGGUAAUGGGUAAAGAAGCACCGGCUAACUACGUGCCAGCAGCCGCGGUGAUACGUAGGGUGCGAGCGUUGUCCGGAUUUAUUGGGCGUAAAGGGCUCGUAGGUGGUUGAUCGCGUCGGAAGUGUAAUCUUGGGGCUUAACCCUGAGCGUGCUUUCGAUACGGGUUGACUUGAGGAAGGUAGGGGAGAAUGGAAUUCCUGGUGGAGCGGUGGAAUGCGCAGAUAUCAGGAGGAACACCAGUGGCGAAGGCGGUUCUCUGGGCCUUUCCUGACGCUGAGGAGCGAAAGCGUGGGGAGCGAACAGGCUUAGAUACCCUGGUAGUCCACGCUGUAAACGGUGGGUACUAGGUGUGGGGUCCAUUCCACGGGUUCCGUGCCGUAGCUAACGCUUUAAGUACCCCGCCUGGGGAGUACGGCCGCAAGGCUAAAACUCAAAGGAAUUGACGGGGGCCCGCACAAG